RNAcentral lists this ribosomal RNA (415 nucleotides) under uncultured crenarchaeote. RNAcentral describes it as "partial 16S ribosomal RNA". It matches the Rfam family "Archaeal small subunit ribosomal RNA", at positions 330 to 747 of the family's 1478-position model. The record is from RNAcentral. Lineage: Archaea; Thermoproteati; Thermoproteota.
GUGCAGCAGUCGCGAAAACUCCGCAAUACGCGAAAGCGUGACGGGGCUACCCCGAGUGUCGUCCGCUGAGGACGACUUUUCCACGCUGUAAGGAGGCGUGGGAAUAAGGAGAGGGCAAGUCUGGUGUCAGCCGCCGCGGUAAUACCAGCUCUUCGAGUGGUGGGGACGCUUAUUGGGCCUAAAGCAUCCGUAGCUGGCCAAACAAGUUCCCUGUUAAAUCCAGCGAUUUAAUCGUUGGACUGCGGGGAAUACUGCUUGGCUAGGGGGCGAGAGAGGCCGACGGUAUUUUCGGGGUAGGGGUGAAAUCCUAUAAUCCCGGAAAGACCACCAGUGGCGAAGGCUGUCGGCUAGAACGCGCCCGACGGUGAGGGAUGAAAGCUGGGGGAGCGAACCGGAUUAGAUACCACUGUAGUCC